GAUGAACGCUGGCGGCGUGCCUAAUACAUGCAAGUCGAGCGAACGGACGAGAAGCUUGCUCCUCUGAUGUUAGCGGCGGACGGGUGAGUAACACGUGGAUAACCUACCUAUAAGACUGGGAUAACUUCGGGAAACCGGAGCUAAUACCGGAUAAUAUUUUGAACCGCAUGGUUCAAAAGUAAAAGACGGUCUUGCUGUCACUUAUAGAUGGAUCCGCGCUGCAUUAGCUAGUUGGUAAGGUAACGGCUUACCAAGGCAACGAUGCAUAGCCGACCUGAGAGGGUGAUCGGCCACACUGGAACUGAGACACGGUCCAGACUCCUACGGGAGGCAGCAGUAGGGAAUCUUCCGCAAAGGGCGAAAGCCUGACGGAGCAACGCCGCGUGAGUGAUGAAGGUCUUCGGAUCGUAAAACUCUGUUAUUAGGGAAGAACAUAUGUGUAAGUAACUGUGCACAUCUUGACGGUACCUAAUCAGAAAGCCACGGCUAACUACGUG
RNAcentral lists this ribosomal RNA (497 nucleotides) under uncultured bacterium. Its description in RNAcentral is "partial 16S ribosomal RNA". It matches the Rfam family "Bacterial small subunit ribosomal RNA", at positions 28 to 507 of the family's 1533-position model. The record is from RNAcentral.